Molecule: ribosomal RNA, 492 nt
Filed under: uncultured bacterium
Lineage: Bacteria
Description: partial 16S ribosomal RNA
Rfam family: Bacterial small subunit ribosomal RNA
Source: RNAcentral
GACGAACGCUGGCGGCGUGCUUAACACAUGCCAGUCGAACGGAAAGGCCCCCACUUUUUUGGUGGGGGUGCUCGAGUGGCGAACGGGUGAGUAACACGUGGGUGAUCUGCCCUGUACUUCGGGAUAAGCUUGGGAAACUGGGUCUAAUACCGGAUAGGACCAUGGUUUAGUGUCUCAUGGUGGAAAAAUUAUUGUUUUGGUGCAGGAUGAGCUCGCGGCCUAUCAGCUUGUUGGUGGGGUAAUGGCCUACCAAGGCGUCGACGGGUAGCCGGCCUGAGAGGGUGGACGGCCACAUUGGGACUGAGAUACGGCCCAGACUCCUACGGGAGGCAGCAGUGGGGAAUAUUGCACAAUGGGCGCAAGCCUGAUGCAGCGACGCCGCGUGGGGGAUGACGGCCUUCGGGUUGUAAACUCCUUUCGUUAGGGACGAAGCCGCACCUUUUUUGGGUGUGGUGACGGUACCUUUGUUAAGAAGCACCGGCUAACUACGUG